CGGAGUGUAGCGCAGCCUGGUAGCGCACCACGUUCGGGACGUGGGGGUCGCAGGUUCAAAUCCUGCCACUCCGACCA
This 77-nucleotide transfer RNA is filed under the name Heterorhizobium halophytocola. RNAcentral's name for it is "Rhizobium halophytocola tRNA-Pro". It matches the Rfam family "tRNA". From Rfam's summary of the family: Transfer RNA (tRNA) molecules are approximately 80 nucleotides in length. Their secondary structure includes four short double-helical elements and three loops (D, anti-codon, and T loops). RNAcentral also lists the same sequence under 9 other names. The record is from RNAcentral. Lineage: Bacteria; Pseudomonadati; Pseudomonadota; Alphaproteobacteria; Hyphomicrobiales; Rhizobiaceae.